UAGCAUGUAGCACCCCGGGCUUCUCCGAUGUUUCUUUUGCAAUGAGGAAAGAAGCCCCAAUGCUCGUGCAAUACCAAAUCGCCAUCCUGUGUUGCAGAUCUGGUUGUAAAACUCAUUUCAUUGGACCGAUCUGUGUCAAAGUGAUGGCAAUAAUA
RNAcentral lists this small nucleolar RNA (155 nucleotides) under Zostera marina. Its description in RNAcentral is "small nucleolar RNA snoR134". It matches the Rfam family "small nucleolar RNA snoR134". Lineage: Eukaryota; Viridiplantae; Streptophyta; Magnoliopsida; Alismatales; Zosteraceae. The record is from Rfam by way of RNAcentral.